GCCCAGCCUCUCCCCUGGACAGUCUCAUGAUCUCCCCUCAUUCCAGCUUGAUCUCCUGUCCCCAAAUUUUAAAAACAGGCACUCUGGGGUGUCGACCUGACUCUGCAGACACACCACAUGGGCCACCAGAUUACAGUCAGCAAGGGAAGGUGUUCCCGUGUUCUAGCUGGAUGAGCAGCGGGUGCUAAGACAGGGAUGCCUGGAGUUGGUCCCUGGAAGGCCUGAAGCGGCGGUGCCCUCCUGGUGGUGAGGGGACACUUGGGCUGGCGCGCCUGCUGUCCGCUCUGCGCUCCGAAGCUUGCCUCUCACGGAAUCACCCUGCCGGCGAGUCUUAGCGCUUCCCCACGACCACAGAGCUCCUCCAUCGCGUGAAAGGCUCGCUCUGCCCGCCUCCACCCUCUCAGCCCCCAGGUGCAGCCCUCAAUGCAACAGGGGCCGAAUGUGUUUCGUGGACUCGGCAGGUCCUGGUGGCUCAGGACGGCGCAAAAGAAGUGUCUCCAAGCAAAAUUGACCCAGUUUUCAAGGGAAGACAAGUCAACCCUGGAAACCUCCAAACAGAUGAAAACAGAAUUUGGUUCAGCAUUGAAGGACCUUACUAAGAAGUGCUCUGACAAGCUGGAAUGUUGUGGAAAUGAAGUGGAGAAGAUAACUGAAGAAAUAUGAUGCAAAACAAUUGAGCUUGGCACAGGAAAUGAAAAUGGUAAGACAGCAGGAGUGGCUA
Long non-coding RNA from Myotis davidii, 721 nucleotides. RefSeq lists it as uncharacterized. Lineage: Eukaryota; Metazoa; Chordata; Mammalia; Chiroptera; Vespertilionidae. The record is from RefSeq and is a predicted model, not a curated record. The transcript is spliced from 2 exons.